Molecule: long non-coding RNA, 420 nt
Filed under: Homo sapiens (human)
Lineage: Eukaryota; Metazoa; Chordata; Mammalia; Primates; Hominidae
Description: non-protein coding lnc-FAM13C-1:1
Source: RNAcentral
GCUACCUGAUUUCAAACUAUACUACAAGGCUACAGUAACCAAAACAGCAUGGUACUGGUACCAAAACAGAUAUAUAGAUCAAUGGAACAGAAUGUUCUCACUGAUAGGUGAGUAUUGAACAAUGAGAACACUUGGACACAGGGUGGGGAACAUCACAUAAAGGUGCCUGUCAUGGGGUGGGGGGAGGGAGGAGGGAUGUCUUGAUUGUAAUAAUGGAUUUUGGAUAUGCACAUACAUAAUAAUGAAUUAUAGAUUUUAAAUAUGUGCAGAGUAUUGUAAGCCAGUUAUACUUUAAUAAGGCUGUUAAACAUAAAUAAAAUUUUUUUUAAAAAGUGUUUUGCUUUCAUCUCUAACAGAUAUUUUCACUCAGUUCAGAAUGCUAGCUUUACAAUUAUUUUCAUUCAGUUUUUUGGUAAGUUU